ACACAACCAUCGAUUCCAAGGUUCUAAAAAGGUCCCUAGAGUCACUGAUUCCACAUGAAAACAUUAUCGCCAUGACGAAGGCUCGUCGGACAAUAACAUCUCCAAGAGAAUCUACUCUAGGCGGGGUCUUCAUAUUGUCCCAACGAGGAAGGCUCCUCGUGGGCCAAUACUACACAACCACCAUCUUAAUCCUAUGUUUUUUCUCAAACUCGGCUAGAGAGCCUAUCUCACAAAGCACG
Molecule: long non-coding RNA, 239 nt
Filed under: Lathyrus oleraceus (garden pea)
Lineage: Eukaryota; Viridiplantae; Streptophyta; Magnoliopsida; Fabales; Fabaceae
Description: Pisum sativum (pea) long non-coding RNA (PSAT_LNC015685)
Source: RNAcentral